This 1011-nucleotide ribosomal RNA is filed under the name Pediococcus pentosaceus. Its description in RNAcentral is "bacterial SSU rRNA". It matches the Rfam family "Bacterial small subunit ribosomal RNA", at positions 33 to 997 of the family's 1533-position model. Lineage: Bacteria; Bacillati; Bacillota; Bacilli; Lactobacillales; Lactobacillaceae. The record is from RNAcentral.
AGGCGUGGGGGCGGGGCCUAAUACAUGCAAGUCGACGAACUUCCGUUAAUUGAUUAUGACGUACUUGUACUGAUUGAGAUUUUAACACGAAGUGAGUGGCGAACGGGUGAGUAACACGUGGGUAACCUGCCCAGAAGUAGGGGAUAACACCUGGAAACAGAUGCUAAUACCGUAUAACAGAGAAAACCGCAUGGUUUUCUUUUAAAAGAUGGCUCUGCUAUCACUUCUGGAUGGACCCGCGGCGUAUUAGCUAGUUGGUGAGGUAAAGGCUCACCAAGGCAGUGAUACGUAGCCGACCUGAGAGGGUAAUCGGCCACAUUGGGACUGAGACACGGCCCAGACUCCUACGGGAGGCAGCAGUAGGGAAUCUUCCACAAUGGACGCAAGUCUGAUGGAGCAACGCCGCGUGAGUGAAGAAGGGUUUCGGCUCGUAAAGCUCUGUUGUUAAAGAAGAACGUGGGUAAGAGUAACUGUUUACCCAGUGACGGUAUUUAACCAGAAAGCCACGGCUAACUACGUGCCAGCAGCCGCGGUAAUACGUAGGUGGCAAGCGUUAUCCGGAUUUAUUGGGCGUAAAGCGAGCGCAGGCGGUCUUUUAAGUCUAAUGUGAAAGCCUUCGGCUCAACCGAAGAAGUGCAUUGGAAACUGGGAGACUUGAGUGCAGAAGAGGACAGUGGAACUCCAUGUGUAGCGGUGAAAUGCGUAGAUAUAUGGAAGAACACCAGUGGCGAAGGCGGCUGUCUGGUCUGCAACUGACGCUGAGGCUCGAAAGCAUGGGUAGCGAACAGGAUUAGAUACCCUGGUAGUCCAUGCCGUAAACGAUGAUUACUAAGUGUUGGAGGGUUUCCGCCCUUCAGUGCUGCAGCUAACGCAUUAAGUAAUCCGCCUGGGGAGUACGACCGCAAGGUUGAAACUCAAAAGAAUUGACGGGGGCCCGCACAAGCGGUGGAGCAUGUGGUUUAAUUCGAAGCUACGCGAAGAACCUUACCAGGUCUUGACAUCUUCUGACAG